GACGAACCGAGCGAACGUUGUUCGGAAUCACUGGGCUUAAAGGGCGCGUAGGCGGGCUGUCAAGUUUGGGGUGAAAUCCCACGGCUUAACCGUGGAACUGCCUCAAAUACUGACGGUCUCGAGGGAGGUAGGGGCGAGCGGAACUGAUGGUGGAGCGGUGAAAUGCGUUGAUAUCAUCAGGAACUCCGGUGGCGAAGGCGGCUCGCUGGACCUCUUCUGACGCUGAGGCGCGAAAGCUAGGGGAGCAAACGGG
Molecule: ribosomal RNA, 253 nt
Filed under: uncultured bacterium
Lineage: Bacteria
Description: partial 16S ribosomal RNA
Rfam family: Bacterial small subunit ribosomal RNA
Source: RNAcentral